UACGGGGGGGGCAAGCGUUGUUCGGAAUUACUGGGCGUAAAGGGCUCGUAGGUGGCCAACUAAGUCAGACGUGAAAUCCCUUGGCUUAACCGGGGAACUGCGUCUGAUACUGGAUGGCUUGAGUUUGGGAGAGGGAUGCGGAAUUCCAGGUGUAGCGGUGAAAUGCGUAGAUAUCUGGAGGAACACCGGUGGCGAAGGCGGCGUUCUGGACUGUUUCUGACACUGAAAAACGAAAGCCAGGGGAGCAAACGGG
This 253-nucleotide ribosomal RNA is filed under the name uncultured bacterium. RNAcentral's name for it is "partial 16S ribosomal RNA". It matches the Rfam family "Bacterial small subunit ribosomal RNA", at positions 524 to 776 of the family's 1533-position model. The record is from RNAcentral.